CUUUACAAUGUUUAUCUUUUUAGAUCUCAUAAAUUUUUUUGAAGAUAGAGAUAGACACAGGGGCGAUUUAGAGUUGAUGUUCUUCCGCAGAGAUUCGUUUUUCAGAUCUGGAGAAACUAUUAUCGUCGAGAAAUUAUUAAUUCCUGAAUAAUGGAGCGACAUGGAUGUUGAUCACAUACCAGUUUGGUUUAUAGAUACGCUAUACUGUAGGACUUAGCUAAAAGUAUAACCAGGACAAGAUGAUAUGUUGCACAAUCAGAAGAAAGAGGAGAAACUUCGUACAACAUUCACAGUAACAGUGUGGCUCUCUUGUUCGGCGUAAUCUUAGUCAUGGGAAUAAGAGUGCAUCUCCUUGAAGGAUUCCUCCAUCUAGUGGUGAAAGCCCUGAUAGACGCAGUCAUGAAAGUCUUAGAAAAAUGAGAUGUUCUCAGCGUGAACCUGCUCGUUCUCAUAGCCCAUCACAACAGAAUUCUGAGACUAAUGAGAUGUGGUUUUCCGCAGUGAAGGAAAUAUGUGUUUGGUUUGAUUAGAAUUUAUGCCUGCUCGAGUCUGAAAGAAGAUGGUGUUAUUGAGAUUUCGAGGGUGUUAGAACUGUUGAUUUGAUGAAUAUAUAUGAGAUGGAGACAAUACUGUUACUUUGUGUGAUUUAGAGUAUCCGGUGACUAAGCUGAUAACGAAAUGAAGAAGCGUUGUGUAUUGUUGCUGGUUGAGAAAUUACAGGGUAUGGAUGAGCUGCAUCUGGCUAUGAAGCAAUUGCAGGUGAUGUUAUGAGCUGGAAGAAUGGGCUUGCUGCAAUGUUGCAGUACAAGGAAUGGUGCAGUUGAGUAACUGGUGCUAUUGAGAUGGUAGAACUCUGAAUUGGUGAUAUAGUGUAUAAAUAUAAAAUAUCGAUGGAAUUGCAAAGAUGAAAUCUGAAAUGUGUGUUGGUGGUAUUGAGGAGAAGAAUUUAUGUUGUUGUUGGAUGGGUAGUGUUACUGCAGAGAAGUGCAUCUAAGAUUGGAAAGCUACAGAAACGGAUAAAAAAUUUGUGUUGAGUGGUUGAGGUGUUGUAGUUGUUUGCAGCAGCAGGGUUAAGAGUGGUUGAGCGUUGGAGCUGGUGUUGGUACUUGUUAAUGAGUUUCGGUUGUAAACAUGUUGUAUUUUGUAGAUGUGUACAUGUUUGUACACCAAUGUACAUGAAGUUUUUUAAAAAAUGUGAAUUAUAUAGUCAUAUGGGUACUCUUUUUGUAGUUCUAGGAAAGAGCUUUCCGAAUAUAUAAAAUUUGCGAAUUUUGGAUAAA
Papaver somniferum (opium poppy) is the source of this 1280-nucleotide long non-coding RNA. RefSeq lists it as uncharacterized. NCBI's taxonomy places the organism in Eukaryota, Viridiplantae, Streptophyta, Magnoliopsida, Ranunculales, Papaveraceae. The transcript has 6 exons. The record is from RefSeq and is a predicted model, not a curated record.